AAGUCGUAACAAGGUCUCCGUAGGUGAACCUGCGGAGGGAUCAUUAAAACGUAUCCACGUAUAAACCUUUGUGAAUCUGUUUUCUAACGAACGUGGCGAUAACGCUAAAGAACUGUAAUGAAUCAAUCAGGAGGCGAUUCAUAACAGGAGUUGUCGUUUUUCACGUCUCCUAUUUUCACUUUAUUAACCCUAUGUAAAUUUUUAAUGCACUAACGAGUUUUAUGCUAACGCAUUUAACUUGAAAACAUAAAAAAUUAUAGCACAACUCUUAGCAACGGAUAUCUAGGCUCUC
This 292-nucleotide unclassified non-coding RNA is filed under the name fungal sp. Its description in RNAcentral is "partial internal transcribed spacer region". The stretch from base 1 to 46 matches the Rfam family "Eukaryotic small subunit ribosomal RNA", at positions 1786 to 1831 of the family's 1831-position model. The record is from RNAcentral. Lineage: Eukaryota; Fungi.